Panicum virgatum (switchgrass) is the source of this 645-nucleotide long non-coding RNA. RefSeq lists it as uncharacterized. The transcript is spliced from 2 exons. The record is from RefSeq and is a predicted model, not a curated record. NCBI's taxonomy places the organism in Eukaryota, Viridiplantae, Streptophyta, Magnoliopsida, Poales, Poaceae.
UUAUUACAAUCACACAUAUCACAGCCCUCCCGCUCGGGUUCAUCUCCUGCGUUCUCUCGGACUCUCUCUCUCUCUAUCUCUCUCUCUCUCCUCCCUUGCUCUUCCUUCCCUGGCGGCGACGACUGGGCGAGCGGCGGCGCCAUUUGUCACGUCUUCGCCCAGCCCUUCGCCGGCGACGAGCAUCUACCAGAUAUUUGACGAUCAAGACUUGGGCUUCUUCACCAACUUUGUGGGAGUCUUCAUAUUUGUUUUGGUCACAGCAUAUCACUAUGUGAUGGCAGAUCCAAAGUUCGAAGGGAACUAACACGCGUGAGGAGAACAAGGCAUGCCAUAAGCCCGUAAUAACCGGAGCCUAAUAGCAGGCAGAAAACACAUCAGAUUAUGCCGAUCUGAAGUUGGAAAAAAUCUGGGUAUAUGAUGAUGUGAACUGGCUGUACUGCAAGUCCAUGACGGACAAUGCUACUUGCUUGUACCGUUUUUGACUGCCAUAAUAUGUAAGUAGCUGAGGGUAAAAUAAUUCCAUGACAUUUCAGAAGUGAUUCCGGAAUCCGGAAUAAUAGUCGUUUUGGCGGAUGCUUAAUAGCGUCGUAGCUAUGCGCUACUCAACUAGAACAUGUAAUUAUGCCAUCCUAAACUGUUAUCUAA